GAUGAACGCUGGCGGCGUGCCUAAUACAUGCAAGUCGAGCGAACAGACGAGGAGCUUGCUCCUCUGACGUUAGCGGCGGACGGGUGAGUAACACGUGGAUAACCUACCUAUAAGACUGGGAUAACUUCGGGAAACCGGAGCUAAUACCGGAUAAUAUAUUGAACCGCAUGGUUCAAUAGUGAAAGACGGUUUUGCUGUCACUUAUAGAUGGAUCCGCGCCGCAUUAGCUAGUUGGUAAGGUAACGGCUUACCAAGGCAACGAUGCGUAGCCGACCUGAGAGGGUGAUCGGCCACACUAGAACUGAGACACGGUCCAGACUCCUACGGGAGGCAGCAGAAGGGAAUCUUCCGCAAUGGGCGAAAGCUUGACGGAGCAACGCCGCGUGAGUGAUGAAGGUCUUCGGAUCGUAAAGCUCUGUUAUUAGGGAAGAACAAAUGUGUAAGUAACUAUACACGUCUUGACGGUACCUAAUCAGAAAGCCACGGCUAACUACGUG
Molecule: ribosomal RNA, 497 nt
Filed under: uncultured bacterium
Lineage: Bacteria
Description: partial 16S ribosomal RNA
Rfam family: Bacterial small subunit ribosomal RNA
Source: RNAcentral